Molecule: ribosomal RNA, 468 nt
Filed under: uncultured bacterium
Lineage: Bacteria
Description: partial 16S ribosomal RNA
Rfam family: Bacterial small subunit ribosomal RNA
Source: RNAcentral
GACGAACGCUGGCGGCGUGCUUAACACAUGCAAGUCGAACGGAAAGGCCCUGCUUUUGUGGGGUGCUCGAGUGGCGAACGGGUGAGUAACACGUGAGUAACCUGCCCUUGACUUUGGGAUAACUUCAGGAAACUGGGGCUAAUACCGGAUAGGAGCUCCUGCUGCAUGGUGGGGGUUGGUAAGUUUCGGCGGUUGGGGAUGGACGCGCGGCUUAUCAGCUUGUUGGUGGGGUAGUGGCUUACCAAGGCUUUGACGGGUAGCCGGCCUGAGAGGGUGACCGGCCACAUUGGGACUGAGAUACGGACCAGACGCCUACGGGAGGCAGCAGUGGGGAAUAUUGCACAAUGGGCGGAAGCCUGAUGCAGCAACGCCGCGUGCGGGAUGACGGCCUUCGGGUUGUAAACCGCUUUCGCCUGUGACGAAGCGUGAGUGACGGUAAUGGGUAAAGAAGCACCGGCUAACUACGUG